CAGGAAAGAAAAGUGAGAGCAAUUCUGUAAAAAGGAAGAAAAUAUUUAAUAGUGGAGAACCUUUCCAGAAGAGUAAGGCCUAUCAGAACUACUCCGAGUGUUGCACUGCUGACUCACACAGGAGGUCAGGAAAUGAACUUUGGAAAAAAGCCUACCUUACAGCCCUCACAGGCAUGGACCCCAUAGUGAAACCCCGAGGCUUUGUCUCCACACACGCGACACUCGAUGUUCAACGCUGAAGCUGAUGCAUCGUCUGGGAACUUGGAGAACAAAGGGUUGUCAGAGUACUGUGGCGCUGUGCAUGUUUGUGUAGUCCAUGUUCGUCAGGUGUUCUUCACUGAGCGGAGGACUGAUGUCGUAGGCCAAGCCGGCAGAUGAGAUGGAGG
Long non-coding RNA from Poecilia latipinna (sailfin molly), 386 nucleotides. RefSeq lists it as uncharacterized. The record is from RefSeq and is a predicted model, not a curated record. Lineage: Eukaryota; Metazoa; Chordata; Actinopteri; Cyprinodontiformes; Poeciliidae. The transcript has 3 exons.